Molecule: transfer RNA, 72 nt
Filed under: Bos taurus (domestic cattle)
Lineage: Eukaryota; Metazoa; Chordata; Mammalia; Artiodactyla; Bovidae
Also listed under: 4 other names
Rfam family: tRNA
About the family: Transfer RNA (tRNA) molecules are approximately 80 nucleotides in length. Their secondary structure includes four short double-helical elements and three loops (D, anti-codon, and T loops).
Source: Rfam by way of RNAcentral
UCGCUGGUGGCUCAGACGGUAAAGCGUCUGCCUACAAUGUAGGAGACCCAGGUUCGAUCCCUGGGUUGGGAA